UACGAAGGGUGCAAACGUUGCUCGGAAUUAUUGGGCGUAAAGCGCACGUAGGCGGCCUUGUAAGUCGGAUGUGAAAUCCCUCGGCUUAACCGAGGACGUGCAUCCGAAACUGUGAGGCUCGAGUAUGGAAGAGGGUCGCAGAAUUCCCGGUGUAGAGGUGAAAUUCGUAGAUAUCAGGAGGAAUACCAGUGGCGAAGGCGGCGACCUGGGCCAAUACUGACGCUGAGGUGCGAAAGCGUGGGGAGCAAACAGG
Molecule: ribosomal RNA, 253 nt
Filed under: uncultured bacterium
Lineage: Bacteria
Description: partial 16S ribosomal RNA
Rfam family: Bacterial small subunit ribosomal RNA
Source: RNAcentral